GACGAACGCUGGCGGCAUGCCUAAUACAUGCAAGUCGAGCGAACAGAUGAAGUGCUUGCACUCCUGACGUUAGCGGCGAACGGGUGAGUAACACGUAAGGAAUCUACCUAUAAGCGGGGGAUAACAUUCGGAAACGGGUGCUAAUACCGCAUAAUAUCUUCUUCCGCAUGGAAGAAGAUUGAAAGACGGCUCUGCUGUCACUUAUAGAUGACCUUGCGGUGCAUUAGUUAGUUGGUGGGGUAAUGGCCUACCAAGACGAUGAUGCAUAGCCGACCUGAGAGGGUGAUCGGCCACAUUGGGACUGAGACACGGCCCAAACUCCUACGGGAGGCAGCAGUAGGGAAUCUUCCGCAAUGGGCGAAAGCCUGACGGAGCAAUGCCGCGUGAGUGAAGAAGGCCUUGGGUCGUAAAACGUCCUGUUAUAAGAGAAGAACAAAUUGUAAGAGUAACUGCUACAGUCUUGACGGUAUCUUAUCA
RNAcentral lists this ribosomal RNA (477 nucleotides) under uncultured bacterium. Its description in RNAcentral is "bacterial SSU rRNA". It matches the Rfam family "Bacterial small subunit ribosomal RNA", at positions 28 to 485 of the family's 1533-position model. The record is from RNAcentral.